RNAcentral lists this ribosomal RNA (896 nucleotides) under uncultured bacterium. RNAcentral describes it as "bacterial SSU rRNA". It matches the Rfam family "Bacterial small subunit ribosomal RNA", at positions 1 to 754 of the family's 1533-position model. The record is from RNAcentral.
CGAUUAGGGUUCGAUUCUGGCUCAGGACGAACGCUGGCGGCGUGCGUAACACAUGCAAGUCGAACGAAGUAAGUUGCUUCACCAAGUGUUGAAUAGCUACCCCCAAGCGCAUUUGCCAAAGGGUAAGCAAAAAGUACUAUCAAUUAAAUAGAAUGGUGAAACAAAAGAAUAGCGAAGAAGAAGCAAAUGCGCUUCACGCUAAUUCCAAGUACCAACACAAAACAAAUUCAAUGUUUGGUGAAGCAACUUGCUUAGUGGCGGACGGGUGAGUAACGCGUGAACAAUCCGCCCCGUACAAAGGGAUAGCCUCGGGAAACCGGGAUUAAAACCAUAUAACACUUAACUGCCGCAUGGUAGUGAAGUCAAAUCGAUUAAGAGGUAUGGGAUGAGUUCGCGUCUGAUUAGCUAGUUGGUGAGGUAAGGGCUCACCAAGGCGACGAUCAGUAGCCGGCCUGAGAGGGUGAACGGCCACACUGGAACUGAGACACGGUCCAGACUCCUACGGGAGGCAGCAGUGGGGAAUAUUGCACAAUGGAGGGAACUCUGAUGCAGCGACGCCGCGUGAGUGAAGAAGGUCUUCGGAUCGUAAAACUCUGUCCUUGGUGAAGAAAAGGACGGUAGCCAAGGAGGAAGCCCCGGCUAACUACGUGCCAGCAGCCGCGGUAAUACGUAGGGGGCGAGCGUUGUCCGGAUUUACUGGGCGUAAAGGGUGAGUAGGCGGUUAUAUAUGUCAGGUGUAAAAAGCUAUGGCUUAACCAUAGUAAGCACUUGAAACUGUAUGACUUGAGUGCAGGAGAGGUAAGCGGAAUUCCUAGUGUAGCGGUGAAAUGCGUAGAUAUUAGGAGGAACACCGGUGGCGAAGGCGGCUUACUGGACUGUAACUGACGCUGAGUCAC